This 952-nucleotide long non-coding RNA is filed under the name Homo sapiens (human). RNAcentral describes it as "HSALNT0235053". The record is from RNAcentral. Lineage: Eukaryota; Metazoa; Chordata; Mammalia; Primates; Hominidae.
CAUCCCCUUCCUUGGUUCUUCCAUUACAGCAAUGAAGUCACAAUGAAGGGGAGGAACUGCCCAGUUGGGCAGCGCGAUGGGAAGGAGCCCACCCACGACUGUGGAUGUUUAACCAAAGCCUUCCUGUAGGAAAGCAGGAAAGACUGGGUGGCCUGAGGGCAAGACGACAGUACUGCUGCUCAGAAAAGGUGACCAAAGUGGCCAACAUUGCAACCUGGACCUGGGACUCAAACCCAAAUCUGUCUGAUUCCUAAACUGCAAUCUUCCCACCAGAUUCUGCGGCCUCCCACUACCUGAAAAAUGGUUUUUCUCUGUCUCCUCACCUAGGAAUGGAAAUAUCACUGAAACUAAAGAAAACGACCCUCCAGUCCAGUGGGUGCAAACUGGGGACUUCAGCUGGAUUCACCCCUCAGGUGGCUUCUGUUUGGCCACCACCUUGUUUGGUCUCCCACAUGAAAAGCUGGUGCCUUUCAUCACGAAGCUGCUCUCACCCCAUUCCUAGAUUCUGAAACCUGAAGUGGGAAAUCCAGGUUGCUGGAGAAGCCACAAACCACACCAGCCAGGUGUGCCACCCCACACCAGCCAGGUGAGAGAGAAGAUCGGUGACAAUGUGUGUAAGCUGCAACAACACUUUCCCUGUAGCCACCUUUGGGGCAUAAAGAAGGGUCUCCUGUAGCCCCCACUGACCUGGAUCCACAGACACAAAAAUCUGGGAAAUGUAGUUCCAGCUGGAGUAACAGUGAUGGCAACAGAAAUAACAAUAACGAAAGACAUGCAUUUAGGAUCUAUACCAAGCGCCUCCCAUGUAUCAUUUCAUUUAACUCCAGUUUCAUCCACAUAGCUCUGAUGGGCUUGUGCGGUUUUCAACUCCAUUUUACAAAGCAGUGGUUAAGUGACUUGCCCCGGUUCCCUCAGCUGGAGAAUGUCUGAGCUGGGAUUCCGCCCUGCACAC